RNAcentral lists this ribosomal RNA (402 nucleotides) under uncultured bacterium. Its description in RNAcentral is "bacterial SSU rRNA". It matches the Rfam family "Bacterial small subunit ribosomal RNA", at positions 355 to 774 of the family's 1533-position model. The record is from RNAcentral.
UCGGGAAUUUUGGGCAAUGGGCGAAAGCCUGACCCAGCAACGCCGCGUGAGGGAUGAAGUAUUUCGGUAUGUAAACCUCGAAAGAAUGGGAAGAAUAAAUGACGGUACCAUUUAUAAGCUCCGGCUAACUACGUGCCAGCAGCCGCGGUAAUACGUAGGGAGCAAGCGUUGUUCGGAUUUACUGGGCGUAAAGGGCGCGUAGGCGGCGCGGUAAGUCACUUGUGAAAUCUCUGAGCUUAACUCAGAACGGCCAAGUGAUACUGCUGUGCUAGAGUGCGGAAGAGGCAACCGGAAUUCUUGGUGUAGCGGUGAAAUGCGUAGAUAUCAGGAGGAACACCUGAGGCGAAGGCGGGUUGCUGGGCCGACACUGACGCUGAUGCGCGAAAGCCAGGGGAGCAAACG